UCCCAGGUGGCUCAGAUGGUAAAGCAUCUGCCUGUAAUGCAGGAGACCUGGGUUUGAUCCCUGGGUCAGGAA
Molecule: transfer RNA, 72 nt
Filed under: Ovis aries (sheep)
Lineage: Eukaryota; Metazoa; Chordata; Mammalia; Artiodactyla; Bovidae
Rfam family: tRNA
About the family: Transfer RNA (tRNA) molecules are approximately 80 nucleotides in length. Their secondary structure includes four short double-helical elements and three loops (D, anti-codon, and T loops).
Source: Rfam by way of RNAcentral